CUGAAGUUCAGAGACUUCACAAACCGCUACAAGGAAGUCAUCAUCACUUUACAACCGGUCGACCCAUUUGAAGUUCUAUACCUUCUUGCCGUAGACUGCCUGCAGUUAUUUCCAUUCCAAAAUUCCCACAAGAUGUCCAGAGUCGCUUGGAUCUCAAAGAACCAGUCCAGAAAGAACAGAAGUACCGAAACAAAAUAAUUGGGACUCUUUAUGAAAUGCUGUCACAGUACACAAUGUACCCAACCCACUCAGACUACAUCCAGGUCAUCAAAGCCCUGAUUGUGAAGUAUCCUUUCUUAAGAGAUGUACACGGAAAUGGUUAUGACACCUGGCACAGCCAACUCAAGAGAAAGUUCAAAGCAGAACGGGCUCCCCUAAUCAGCAACGAAGAAGUGAACCGGGUUAAAGAAAAGUUUGGGCGCACGCAGAAACAUCGGACCACAGAGGAAUCCAGCAGCUCCUGUCUGAAGAGACUGAAGCCCUCUCUCGUAAAUCCUCACACCCUCAGCCUCUAAGAGCUAAGGAUUCGUGCUUUGUGGG
Oreochromis aureus is the source of this 540-nucleotide long non-coding RNA. RefSeq lists it as uncharacterized. Lineage: Eukaryota; Metazoa; Chordata; Actinopteri; Cichliformes; Cichlidae. The transcript has 5 exons. The record is from RefSeq and is a predicted model, not a curated record.